RNAcentral lists this ribosomal RNA (274 nucleotides) under uncultured bacterium. Its description in RNAcentral is "partial 16S ribosomal RNA". It matches the Rfam family "Bacterial small subunit ribosomal RNA", at positions 523 to 796 of the family's 1533-position model. The record is from RNAcentral.
AUACGGAGGGUGCGAGCGUUAAGCGGAAUUACUGGGCGUAAAGCGCGCGUAGGCGGCUUGGUCAGUCGGAUGUGAAAGCCCCGGGCUUAACCUGGGAAUUGCAUUCGAUACUGCCAGGCUAGAAUGUAGUAGAGGGUAGUGGAAUUUCGGGUGUAGCGGUGAAAUGCGUAGAGAUGUGGAGGAACACCAAUGGCGAAGGCGACUUGCUGGACUAAUACUGACGCUGAGGAGCGAAAGCGUGGGGAGCAAACGGGAUUAGAAACCCCAGUAGUCC